GGGCUCAUAGCUCAGCGGUAGAGUGCCUCCCUUGCAAGGAGGAUGCCCUGGGUUCGAAUCNACACACCAGACCUUCCC
This 78-nucleotide transfer RNA is filed under the name Halorubrum distributum JCM 13561. Its description in RNAcentral is "Halorubrum litoreum JCM 13561 tRNA-OTHER". It matches the Rfam family "tRNA", at positions 1 to 61 of the family's 71-position model. From Rfam's summary of the family: Transfer RNA (tRNA) molecules are approximately 80 nucleotides in length. Their secondary structure includes four short double-helical elements and three loops (D, anti-codon, and T loops). The record is from RNAcentral. Lineage: Archaea; Methanobacteriati; Methanobacteriota; Halobacteria; Halobacteriales; Haloferacaceae.